Ribosomal RNA from Petromyzon marinus (sea lamprey), 120 nucleotides. NCBI's taxonomy places the organism in Eukaryota, Metazoa, Chordata, Hyperoartia, Petromyzontiformes, Petromyzontidae. The record is from Ensembl.
GCUUGUGACCAAAUCACCUGCAAGCCACCCGAUAUUGUUAUAUCUCGGAAGCUAAGCUGGCUUGAGGCUGGUCAGUGCUUGGAUGGGCGACCACCGUGCGUAAAACAGAUGCUAUAGGCU